GGACUUAGGGCUAAUUUUGAUAAAACAGAAGCCAUAUGGAUUGGGUCAAAGAUUCACUCAAGGGAUAAACUAACAACUACAAGAAAUUUGAACUGGAAUCAUUCAGGAAAAUUUAAACUUUUAGGAAUAAAAUUUGAUCUGUUCAGUGAAAAUAAAACGCUUGUAAAUUUUGAAGAAAAAAUAAAAAAAAUACAGAGCCUGCUAAAUUCCUGGGUUUAUAGAGAUUUAACAUAUAUGGGAAAGAUCACUGUCAUUAAAUCACUAGCUCUACCUAUUCUAAUUCAAUCAUUGACAGUUUUUGCCAAAUCCUCCGGAUGAUAAAAUAAAAGAAAUUCAAAAUAUUUUUUUUAGUUUCUUGUGGUCAGGAAAACCAGACAAGAUUAAAAGAAAAGUUAUGAUAGGGUUAUUUGAAAAUGGGGGGUUGAAAAAUGCCAGAUAUAAGAUCCUUUUGUUAUUCAUUAAAGAUGACAUGGAUAAAUAAACUUUUAGACCCCUUGAAUAUAUCCCCAUGGAAAACAUUGUUAAUAGAUCAAUACAACAGAUUGGGAGCA
RNAcentral lists this long non-coding RNA (551 nucleotides) under Mytilus galloprovincialis (Mediterranean mussel). The record is from RNAcentral. Lineage: Eukaryota; Metazoa; Mollusca; Bivalvia; Mytilida; Mytilidae.